GGGGGCCCGCACAAGCGGUGGAGCAUGUGGUUUAAUUCGAUGCAACGCGAAGAACCUUACCUGGCCUUGACAUACUAAGAACUUUCCAGAGAUGGAUUGGUGCCUUCGGGAACUUAGAUACAGGUGCUGCAUGGCUGUCGUCAGCUCGUGUCGUGAGAUGUUGGGUUAAGUCCCGCAACGAGCGCAACCCUUUUCCUUAUUUGCCAGCGGGUAAUGCCGGGAACUUUAAGGAUACUGCCAGUGACAAACUGGAGGAAGGCGGGGACGACGUCAAGUCAUCAUGGCCCUUACGGCCAGGGCUACACACGUGCUACAAUGGUCGGUACAAAGGGUUGCUACCUCGCGAGAGGAUGCUAAUCUCAAAAAGCCGAUCGUAGUCCGGAUCGCAGUCUGCAACUCGACUGCGUGAAGUCGGAAUCGCUAGUAAUCGCGGAUCAGAAUGCCGCGGUGAAUACGUUCCCGGGCCUUGUACACACCGCCCGUCACACCAUGGGA
RNAcentral lists this ribosomal RNA (495 nucleotides) under uncultured bacterium. Its description in RNAcentral is "bacterial SSU rRNA". It matches the Rfam family "Bacterial small subunit ribosomal RNA", at positions 915 to 1409 of the family's 1533-position model. The record is from RNAcentral.